Vicia faba (fava bean) is the source of this 201-nucleotide non-coding RNA. NCBI's taxonomy places the organism in Eukaryota, Viridiplantae, Streptophyta, Magnoliopsida, Fabales, Fabaceae. The record is from the annotation of a GenBank genome assembly.
AUGGGUAGCGAUGAUGUGAGGAGAGUGUCGACGGUUGCUGACAGAAGCUCGCCAGUGAUGGAGGAGUGCGAUCGGAGCUUUAGAACAUCACCGAUGUUGUAUCAUGGUGGAGACAGAGGCAUGGUCAUUUCUGCAAUAUCCGACGCAAUGGUGUUUCGUGGUUGCAGGAUGGUGGUGAACGGUGGAAGCAGCGACAAUUAG